CGUGGCGACCGGCGCACGGGUGCGUAACGCGUAUGCAACCUACCUUUAACAGGGGGAUAACACUGAGAAAUUGGUACUAAUACCCCAUAAUAUCAUAGAAGGCAUCUUUUAUGGUUGAAAAUUCCGAUGGUUAGAGAUGGGCAUGCGUUGUAUUAGCUAGUUGGUGGGGUAACGGCUCACCAAGGCGACGAUACAUAGGGGGACUGAGAGGUUAACCCCCCACACUGGUACUGAGACACGGUCCAA
RNAcentral lists this ribosomal RNA (246 nucleotides) under uncultured bacterium. Its description in RNAcentral is "partial 16S ribosomal RNA". It matches the Rfam family "Bacterial small subunit ribosomal RNA", at positions 87 to 334 of the family's 1533-position model. The record is from RNAcentral.